AUUGAACGCUGGCGGAAUGCUUUACACAUGCAAGUCGAACGGUAGAGGGGGCAACCCCUCGAGAGUGGCGAACGGGUGAGUAAUAUAUCGGAACGUGCCCAGUCGUGGGGGAUAACGUAGCGAAAGUUACGCUAAUACCGCAUACGAUCUACGGAUGAAAGCGGGGGAUCGCAAGACCUCGCGCGAUUGGAGCGGCCGAUAUCAGAUUAGGUAGUUGGUGGGGUAAAGGCUCACCAAGCCAACGAUCUGUAGCUGGUCUGAGAGGACGACCAGCCACACUGGAACUGAGACACGGUCCAGACUCCUACGGGAGGCAGCAGUGGGGGAAUUUUGGACAAUGGACGCAAGUCUGAUCCAGCCAUUCCGCGUGCAGGAUGAAGGCCCUCGGGUUGUAAACUGCUUUUGUACGGAACGAAAAGGUCUCUAUUAAUACUAGGGGCUCAUGACGGUACCGUAAGAAUAAGCACCGGCUAACUACGUG
RNAcentral lists this ribosomal RNA (481 nucleotides) under uncultured bacterium. Its description in RNAcentral is "bacterial SSU rRNA". It matches the Rfam family "Bacterial small subunit ribosomal RNA", at positions 30 to 507 of the family's 1533-position model. The record is from RNAcentral.